ACGUGGGAGGCGAGCGUUAUCCGGAUUUACUGGGUGUAAAGCGCGUGCAGGCGGAACGGAAAGUUGGAUGUAAAAGCUCCCGGCUUAACUGGGAGAGGUCGUUCAAAACUACCGAUCUAGAGUACAGUAGAGGGAAGUGGAAUUCCGGGUGUAGUGGUGAAAUGCGUAGAUAUCCGGAGGAACACCAGUGGCGAAGGCGGCUUUCUGGACUGUAACUGACGCUGAGUCGCGAAAGCUAGGGUAGCAAACGG
RNAcentral lists this ribosomal RNA (251 nucleotides) under uncultured prokaryote. Its description in RNAcentral is "partial 16S rRNA". It matches the Rfam family "Bacterial small subunit ribosomal RNA", at positions 525 to 775 of the family's 1533-position model. The record is from RNAcentral.